Molecule: ribosomal RNA, 253 nt
Filed under: uncultured bacterium
Lineage: Bacteria
Description: partial 16S ribosomal RNA
Rfam family: Bacterial small subunit ribosomal RNA
Source: RNAcentral
UACGUAGGGUGCGAGCGUUGUCCGGAAUUACUGGGCGUAAAGAGCUCGUAGGUGGUUUGUCGCGUUGUUCGUGAAAACUCACAGCUUAACUGUGGGCGUGCGGGCGAUACGGGCAGACUGGAGUACUGCAGGGGAGACUGGAAUUCCUGGUGUAGCGGUGGAAUGCGCAGAUAUCAGGAGGGACACCGGUGGCGAAGGCGGGUCUCUGGGCAGUAACUGACGCUGAGGAGCGAAAGCGUGGGGAGCGAACAGG